RNAcentral lists this ribosomal RNA (200 nucleotides) under Micromonospora humi. RNAcentral's name for it is "16S rRNA. Bacterial SSU". It matches the Rfam family "Bacterial small subunit ribosomal RNA", at positions 1 to 201 of the family's 1533-position model. The record is from RNAcentral. Lineage: Bacteria; Bacillati; Actinomycetota; Actinomycetes; Micromonosporales; Micromonosporaceae.
UUUUGUUGGAGAGUUUGAUCCUGGCUCAGGACGAACGCUGGCGGCGUGCUUAACACAUGCAAGUCGAGCGGAAAGGCCCUUCGGGGUACUCGAGCGGCGAACGGGUGAGUAACACGUGAGCAACCUGCCCUAGGCUUUGGGAUAACCCCGGGAAACCGGGGCUAAUACCGAAUAUGACCACAUGUCGCAUGGUGUGUGGU